UGCCCAGGCUGAUCUUGAACUCCUGGGCUUAAGCAAUCCUUCCACCUUGGUAUCCCAAAGUACUGGGAUUAUAGGCAUGAGCCACCUUGCCAGGCCUCCAGAGGCAUUUUGAUUGGAAGAGAAGACUUCUUGGGAAAAGAAGUCAUAUCUGACCUGAAAACCACCAUCCAGAGGAAAAUAAGUUUUGUCAACUCUCAUCUUGAUUGCAUUCACAAAAGAGGAGGAAAUACCCCUUGUUAGAUGUGGGACCUCAUUCUCAGCCCAGAGUCCAAAGAAGGUGAUGAAGCCUUGCUCUCCGGGAGAAGCGGCUGCCUAACUCAUGUCUCCUUGUGACCCAGGACCCAGAAUCCGUCACUACAGGUUUGAGCCCUUCUCCCUGGUGGGACCCAGAAGGCCAGUCUGGCAGAGCUGUGGAGAACCAGGUAAGCUCUCACAUCCACCCUGCCUGACAUGUAGUAAGCCCCUCCUCACCUCUUUAAAGAAGACCAAAGAAAGUGGGUUUACGAUUUCUCAGGAAGGUUUUGCUUCUGUUGUUUUUCCUUCCCAACUUCCCAAUUGUCUAUUGUACCCGCAAACUCCCUACCCUUCGGUUCCAGAUCUAGUGUGUCUCCUGCAGCUUCUGUCUAAAUGAAGGAUUGCCCUUUUGGUCCCUAUUCCAGCCCUUCCCCUCUGGGAAAUGAUGUAUGCCUUCCAGAACUUCUAACUUUACCACACCCUGAUGGUGAGCUGGGUACUGUGUGGCUGGCAUUGUUCUUAAUUACCACGCUCCAGGUCUUCACACAGAUGGGCUUGUUUGAUCCUCACUGUGUUCCUAUGAGGAUGGUGCAAUUAUGAUCUCUAUUUCUUUCAAAAAUAGAGAUGGAGUCUAGCUGUGUUGCCCAGGCUGGUCUCUAACUCCUGAGCUCAAGCGAUUCUCCCCACCUCAGACUCCCAAAGUAUUGAGAUUACAGGCAUGAGCCACCGUGCCUGGCCUAUCAUCCCCAUUUAAAAGACAGAAAAUCUGAGGUGCAAGGAGGUUAAACAACUUGCCUGAGAUCCCAGUUAGAAAGUGUUAAGUUUGAACCCAAGUAGUGUGACUCUAAGCACCAGCUCCCAACCACAUCAUUUUAUUGCCAUCGUAACUCUAAUGUUUAGAAUCUGUUGGAUACUCAAAGGUCUUGGCGUGUCCUAAAUUUAAAUAAAUAAAUAAGUAAAUAAGAAUCCAUGGGAAUUGCAAAAAGAAGCAUGGUCUUUGUUCUACGAAUGUUGUUUGUUCUUUUU
Rhinopithecus roxellana (golden snub-nosed monkey) is the source of this 1260-nucleotide long non-coding RNA. RefSeq lists it as uncharacterized. The transcript is spliced from 3 exons. The record is from RefSeq and is a predicted model, not a curated record. NCBI's taxonomy places the organism in Eukaryota, Metazoa, Chordata, Mammalia, Primates, Cercopithecidae.